RNAcentral lists this ribosomal RNA (468 nucleotides) under uncultured bacterium. RNAcentral describes it as "partial 16S ribosomal RNA". It matches the Rfam family "Bacterial small subunit ribosomal RNA", at positions 28 to 507 of the family's 1533-position model. The record is from RNAcentral.
GACGAACGCUGGCGGCGUGCUUAACACAUGCAAGUCGAACGGAAAGGCCCUGCUUUUGUGGGGUGCUCGAGUGGCGAACGGGUGAGUAACACGUGAGUAACCUGCCCUUGACUUUGGGAUAACUUCAGGAAACUGGGGCUAAUACCGGAUAGGAGCUCCUGCUGCAUGGUGGGGGUUGGAAAGUUUCGGCGGUUGGGGAUGGACUCGCGGCUUAUCAGCUUGUUGGUGGGGUAGUGGCUUACCAAGGCUUUGACGGGUAGCCGGCCUGAGAGGGUGACCGGCCACAUUGGGACUGAGAUACGGCCCGGACUCCUACGGGAGGCAGCAGUGGGGAAUAUUGCAAAAUGGGCGGAAGCCUGAUGCAGCAACGCCGCGUGCGGGAUGACGGCCUUCGGGUUGUAAACCGCUUUCGCCUGUGACGAAGCGUGAGUGACGGUAAUGGGUAGAGAAGCACCGGCUAACUACGUG